GACAGAGGUGCCAAGCGUUAGGCGGAAUCACUGGGCUUAAAGCGUGUGUAGGCGGGCGAUCAAGUACCUUGUGAAAUCCCACGGCUUAACCCUGGAAUUGCCUUUAAGACUGCAUCGCUAGAAUCGUGGAGAGGUGAGUGGAAUUCCGAGUGUAGAGGUGAAAUUCGUAGAUAUUCGGAAGAACACCAGUGGCGAAGGCGACUCACUGGACACGUAUUGACGCUGAGGUGCGAAAGCGUGGGGAGCAAACAGG
RNAcentral lists this ribosomal RNA (253 nucleotides) under uncultured bacterium. RNAcentral describes it as "partial 16S ribosomal RNA". It matches the Rfam family "Bacterial small subunit ribosomal RNA", at positions 524 to 776 of the family's 1533-position model. The record is from RNAcentral.